Molecule: ribosomal RNA, 160 nt
Filed under: Prostanthera rotundifolia (round-leaf mintbush)
Lineage: Eukaryota; Viridiplantae; Streptophyta; Magnoliopsida; Lamiales; Lamiaceae
Description: 5.8S ribosomal RNA
Rfam family: 5.8S ribosomal RNA
About the family: 5.8S ribosomal RNA (5.8S rRNA) is a component of the large subunit of the eukaryotic ribosome. It is transcribed by RNA polymerase I as part of the 45S precursor that also contains 18S and 28S rRNA.
Source: RNAcentral
CAUAACGACUCUCGGCAACGGAUAUCUCGGCUCUCGCAUCGAUGAAGAACGCAGCGAAAUGCGAUACUUGGUGUGAAUUGCAGAAUCCCGUGAACCAUCGAGUCUUUGAACGCAAGUUGCGCCCGAAGCCGUCAGGCCGAGGGCACGUCUGCCUGGGCGU